ACACAUGUGCUAGCAGGCAAGGCCCAGUCACUGGGGGAAAGCUGGCUGGCCACACUGACCACGCCAAAAAGUGCAAAUGGAUGAAUGUACCAGGGGGCAGAGGACAAGAGAACGGGCCGUCUGAGGGAGUGAAGGGAUGGCUGAAGGGAGAAGGGGUGAGAUGUGCGCGCUCUGAAGAAGCCAGGGCGGGAGUUACUGGAUGGCAGGGAGGAGUCUGCCCGAGCGGACUCGCCUAGAGAUCACCCCGGCCCCGCCCAUGAUCACCUCCUGGGAGCGGGCGCUGAGGCCUGCAGAGGUUGUAAGCUUGCGGGCAAGAGGCAGAGCUGGCACUGCCCCAGGCUCUCAGGCCACAGGGCCCGUGCUUCCGGCUUGGCCUGGCCCGGAGCCCCGGCUAGGGUUUCCCACCAAUCCCAGCCUGCUGCCGGCCGACAUUCAAAACCACCUAAUCAAACCCAGCUGCCCGCUCAGAACAGUCCAAUCACUCCCUCCCGUUGCUGGCCAGGCUUUGGCCGGAAGCGGAUCUCGCCAUCUCCCGUGAUUGGUGCCUGGCUCCCUUUUCUGCCCCCGCAGAGCCAGAGCCAGUGGAAGCCAAACAGACCGGGUGGGCUGCAGUCCCCGGCAGGGCAGCAGAGGAAGAGGUGGACUGUCACUUCCAGGAGGGGUCACGCCUGCCCCUUCCGUCGCCCUGUCACCCUCAAGAGUCGCCGUGGGGUUAGGAGGCGGUUUGGUCUCUGCCUUGUGUGGACGUUACUUGUUCUGCACGCUCAGCUCUUCAGUGUGGAUGGCAGAAGUCAGGGAACAGGUGCAGGGAUUCCCCGGUGAAGACGGAUGCCCACAGCCUGCCAGCCUGCACGUUGAAGAUUCUGUCGCAGCGUCCUUGGGCUCACGAAAGCUGCUCCAGUUCCAAGAUGCUGUGCACCCCACCUGCUCUGAAUGGGACCCCCAGUGUGGGAAGCACUCCCACCAGGUAAGGAAGGGGAGGGGAGGGGAGACCGGCCUUGACCAUGGUGUUCCUCUGAGUUCCCUGCUCCAUCCUUCCCCCACCUGGCUCACCCCCAUAUCUCCCAUCAGGAGCCCAAGCCACAAACCACCCAGGCCCAACACAGGUGGGUCUGUGGCCACCAGGGGCUCAGUUACCCAGGGGGGCAGGGGAGGAGGCAUCCAGGGAUCCCAGAUGCCCAGCCCUUGGACAGAGACACCCUCAUACCCUGCCAGCUGCCCCUACGCACACGCUCAGCCCCUCACCCCACAGCCUGGUGGGCCUGCCUCAACCCGGAGACACACGCAGGGCCUCGCUCACAUGCACAGAGGAGAGGAACAGGGUGACCCCACAGCCGGGAACAGACGUCAGGAUGGGAGAGGAAUGUCACUUAGUGCCAGGCCGGGAGCACCCACCAAUCUGCUCCCUGCAGCCCUGGCGCCCAACUGGACACCUCUCAUAGGCACUGCCCUGGCUGCCUCUGCCCCUCCCCUACCCCGGACCCAGCCAGCAGGCUGUGGCUUCAGUGUGAGGUUAGGCAGAGCCCCCAUCCCCCACAGCUGCAGUGGCCGAACACACAGAGGGAACAGGUGGUUCCUGGACAUGGCCAGGGGACGUCUCGGGCCCCAGAGCCUGUGCAGCUCCAAGGGACUCAGGAGGAGGAACUGGGACCUUAAGAGCCUGAGGGAGGGGCGUCCCGGGAGAGAAGGGAUGAGCGGGGACAAGGGGGAGGAGCAUGGGGCCCUCAUCCUCACAGGCAGGUGA
This is a long non-coding RNA of Oryctolagus cuniculus (rabbit), 1744 nucleotides long. Lineage: Eukaryota; Metazoa; Chordata; Mammalia; Lagomorpha; Leporidae. The record is from Ensembl.